GGUCGGGUCCUGUGCGACGGGUGCUCGUGAAUCGGGUCAGGGUCGGAAGGCAGCAGCCCUCAGCGGUACCACUCGUGUGCCGCAGAUCGCCUGGCCGUU
This 99-nucleotide signal recognition particle RNA is filed under the name Actinomycetota bacterium. RNAcentral's name for it is "Actinobacteria bacterium (freshwater metagenome) signal recognition particle sRNA small type". It matches the Rfam family "Bacterial small signal recognition particle RNA". From Rfam's summary of the family: The signal recognition particle (SRP) is a universally conserved ribonucleoprotein involved in the co-translational targeting of proteins to membranes. Archaeal SRP consists of a 7S RNA and homologues of the eukaryotic SRP19 and SRP54 proteins. The record is from RNAcentral. Lineage: Bacteria; Bacillati; Actinomycetota.